GUUUAAAUUUCAUAGAUUUCUAUUUACUUAAACUAAAGUUAUUGUGCGAAAACCAAGAAUAAUGCUUAUUUGGGCCCUUUUUUGGCCCCUAAUUCCUAAACUGUUGAAACCAAAACUCCCAAAAUCAAUCCCAACCGUUCUUUUGUGGUCAUAAACCUUGUGUCAAAAUUUCAUAGAUUUCUAUUAACUUCAACUAAAGUUAUAGUGCGAAAACCAAGAAAAUGCUUAUUUGGGCCCUUUUUGGCCCCUAAUUCCUAAAAUGUUGGGACCAAAACUCCCAAAAUCAAUACCAACCUUCCUUUUGUGGUCAUAAACCUUGUGUUAAAAUUUCAUAGAUUUCCAUUCACUUUUACUAAAGUUAGAGUGCGAAAACUAAAAGUAUUCGGAUGACGACGACAACAACGACGACAACGCAGACGACGACGCCAACGUGAUAGCAAUAUACGACGUAAAAUUUUUCAAAUUUUGCGGUCGUAUAAAAAGCAGAAU
This 489-nucleotide long non-coding RNA is filed under the name Mytilus galloprovincialis (Mediterranean mussel). The record is from RNAcentral. Lineage: Eukaryota; Metazoa; Mollusca; Bivalvia; Mytilida; Mytilidae.